CCAUCCUCUGUUCUUCAGGUAGCUCCACUAGUGUGCUGCAGUAUUGUAAGGAUAGUGAUAUGGAAAUAAACAGGUGCAUUACCUAACAGUGAGUUUGAUUUUGUUCUGGUGUGUUCCAAAUAGUGUUGUGACUCAAAAGAUUAGCUUAACUUCAAGUAAAUAUCAUAAAUAUUAAAGAAAAUGUUUCUAGUUAAGUUCCUGUUGUACAACUUAAUAAAAUAGACAACUAAGCAUAGAGGAGAACGAAGCCAUGUAAAUAGUUGUGGUUGAUGGUUGCUUCCUAGAAACUUAAUAAAACAUUCAGUUUUAUGAUUCACAUUUUAGUAUUCAGAUUUUAGGUUGACCUCAUUGUGCUAUGGGAGUAGUAUAGUUGUCUAUGGAAGUCCACUUCCUGGUCACUGCCCUCCACAGCUUGCACAUUCCUUGGCAGUUCAGAGAUCUGACUCCGUUUGCCCAAGGACAAACAAAACUCUACUAUGUGCGUAGGAAUCUAGAGAAAGUGAGCAGAAGCAAUGGCCCUGUGCAUUGGAAGUGUUAGACCAGCUCCUCCUGGAAAUCUGAAAGCAUGGCUCCUGUUUUAGUCAGUCUUUUCUCCUCUGUGACCAAAAGACAUGAAAAAAACAAUUCUAGAGAGGGAAGGAUUUAUUUGGUAAUCACAGUUUCAGAGGUCUCAGUCCAUAGAUGGCCAGCUGUUAGCCAGAGGUGAGGCAGAACAUCAAGGUGGAAGGGCCUGGUGAGGAAGGCAGCUCAGGACAUGAUAAUCAGGGUGACUUACCAGGGACAAAGUAUAAACCCCAAAGGCAUGCCCCCUGUGACUCCCCUCAGCCAGCCACACCCUACCUGCCUACAGUUCCCACCCAGUGAGUCCAGUCAGGUGGAUCAGUGCCUGAUCAGGGUAAGGCUCUCACAACCCAGUCAUUCCACCUCUCAGUUUCCUGAACUCUGGGGGACACCUCGCAUCCUAAUCUUGGCUCUUUUCCCUGAGACUGCAGCCCGGACAUGGCAUUUUGUGUGGUUCCUGUCCAUGCAGGACAUACCUUUGACUGCCUGUCAGGAAGCCCUGAUCUGAAAGAUUGUCCUCCCUUUACUUCUGCCCUUGCUUCAAUUUUGCUCUCUCCCACUGUCAGUAGUUCUCUGUCACCUUGGAGUGGGAUGUCUACCCUGGAAGGAUGUCGAUUGCCUCUCCAAACAGCUCCUGCUCUGAGUUGAGAACUUCAUAAAGAAAUAGACCAGAACUCUCUGCAGAGGCUGCCCCCAUUUAGGCAUGUACAAACUAGAGCCCAAGGCUUAUACAUAGUGAUGCCUCUUGCUGGAGAAGGUUUUGUUUCACAAUAAGUGAAAUAUUGUUUUUAAAAUGAGCAUGCUUUUUUUCCCUAAAAAUUCUGGUUAUUAUGAAUUCUUUCUCCCUAAGUGUGAAUUUUUCUCAUAUCUUGGGUGUAAAAUGUGUACUUGAAGCUAUAAUAGUUGCUAGAAAUUUGAGAUUCAUUGUUUUGUGACUUUUAAAUUUGCAGCACAUUUUCAGGAAAAUAGUCAAGGUUUCCAGAUUCCAUUUUAUUCCUUUCAGAUUUUGUGAAUGUCUGAUUAUCUCUGAAUUUUAUUAAUUCAUUUAUAAGUUUAGGAAAGACUAUCUUCAGUUAGAAAAGUAUUUCAACACAAAGGUCCAUUUGAACAGCUCCACAGUGAAAUCACAGACCAUCUGCUUGGUAUGUCAUUCACGGGACUUUCCUGCAAAAUUCAGCUUCACUCAGAAGGUCAUCCUUGGAAAACGAAGAAGUCUGAAGAGUCUCUGCUCUUGGGACUAAGUGAACAGAAGGGCGUGUGUCCUCAGGGUAACAGUGCAACAUAUCCUGGAAGCAUCUUGGACCGCAUCGCUGUUGGUACGUGAGGCAAAACUUGACCUUCGUUUACGAAUUGGACCUACAAGGUGUAAGCUGAUCUAUAUAACAUAGAUUUAAUGUACGCAAAAUACAACCUUCACCCCAAAACAUUUCUGUCAGUACAGUCUGUUGUUAAUAACCCACACUGGUAGAGGGGAGCCUGGAUCAGACAACUUAACUGAAGUCAGACAACAUUCAGGAUUUGAAGGUAUUUUUGUAGUUCAUUUUAGCAUACAGUGUUUGGGAUUCUACACAUGUGCCUUACAAUUUUCUGUCCCCAGAGAGAGGGACCUGAGAGAGGAGCUCGAAUUGAUCCAUGCUUCAGAUACCCAUUUUACUGGGGAGAAAACAUCAAGCACAAGAUUCUAAAAUUGGGUGGAGUCCUGUGACAUUUCUCCUGCUUACACUUUCCAAGUAAAUUUAUUACAUUUACUUCUAGCUUUUCAGAAUGAUGCCCAGUUUUAGUCACUGCCUUAAGACCAUCCAGGUCAGUCUUCCCUCCUGUGGUCAGGUGUUAUUCUGCUGAAGAUGAGAGUUUUCAGCUGUUUCAUUGUGAGAAUGCGCCUACUGCCUUUUAUUCUACCUCCCUUCCUAUGGGGAGUAGACUUGUUCUAGUCAUAGGUGUCUUUCGCCUCUAAGGUUUGCCUGUAAUAAUUCAUGGAUUCUAAAUGUGGCCUUUUGGUUGUGCUGUUGAGGUGGUCUCCACGGGACAAUUGCUCUUCUCUGGGCAUGGCUCAGGGUGGUUUCCAGCCUUUCCUUCCAACCACUGCAUUCUCCUCAGGCUAGGAGUGGGUCUUAGCACGCCCCAGGGGUGGGAGGAUGCAGAGCGACUCUGGAAGCUGGCUAGCUCCUCCAUCAGUUAAGGAGAUAGCUGAAGAAAGCCACCUGUUUACCUCAGGUGCUAUUAAAAACACAUGUGCAGAGAAGGCCACGGUUUUAGGCCCACAUGAACCCACAUUGAAUUUGCAUUGUCUGUUCAGGUGUGUCUUACUCUAAAACAAUUACAAUAAUAACAACCCUUUAAAAAAAAUUUCACAUACCACUGAUUAAGAUACUGAAUUUUUUCUUGUAGUUUUCAGAAACAUUGCAGAUGUGUUUUGUGUAAGAGAAUAUAUUGUAUAUAAUAAUUUUCUGACUCUUGCUCUAAUAAAAAUUAAGUUGUCUAAUUAUUCAAA
RNAcentral lists this long non-coding RNA (3052 nucleotides) under Marmota monax (woodchuck). Lineage: Eukaryota; Metazoa; Chordata; Mammalia; Rodentia; Sciuridae. The record is from RNAcentral.